CCCUUAGAUGUUCUGGGCCGCACGCGCGCUACACUGACGAUGGCAACGAGUUGUUCCUUCGCCGAAAGGUGUGGGUAAUCUUUUGAAACAUCGUCGUGCUGGGGAUAGAUCAUUGCAAUUUUUGAUCUUGAACGAGGAAUUCCUAGUAAGCGCGAGUCAUCAGCUCGCGUUGAUUACGUCCCUGCCCUUUGUACACACCGCCCGUCGCUACUACCGAUUGAAUGGUUUAGUGAGGACUCCUGAUUGGCGCCGCCGCCCCGGCAACGGAGCAGCGGACUGCCGAAAAGUUGUUCAAACUUGAUCAUUUAGAGGAAGUAAAAGUCGUAACA
Molecule: ribosomal RNA, 329 nt
Filed under: uncultured eukaryote
Lineage: Eukaryota
Description: partial 18S ribosomal RNA
Rfam family: Eukaryotic small subunit ribosomal RNA
Source: RNAcentral